Molecule: long non-coding RNA, 322 nt
Organism: Athene cunicularia (burrowing owl)
Lineage: Eukaryota; Metazoa; Chordata; Aves; Strigiformes; Strigidae
Exons: 3
Source: RefSeq, a predicted model, not a curated record
UACAUAGACAACACGUGUAACCCAGCAUCUUCCACUGAUGGUUUACAUGUGAAUUAAAUUCCUGGCAUUAAAAAGUGAUUUGGAAACUUUCUGGCCAGGCAGCCAGAUGUUCUGUAUCUUUAAAGUCUCACAGGAUUCCUGCUGCCUGUAUUUCACUUGUCCUCGUGAUGAAGACAAAUCUUGAAGCAAUGCUGAGAUGUGGACUUCGAGGUGAGUUUGCUUGUGAGACGGUGAGUCCUUUCCCUCCGAGGGAGUAACAAGCAACAGGUCUUCACGUGGAGAACCUCAUGGAAAUCUAGCCCCCUCUUGUGGUUUUUCCACA